CCCUUAGAUGUUCUGGGCCGCACACGCGCUACACUGAAGGAGGCAGCGUGUACUUCUGGAUCGAAAGAUUUGGGUAGCCCGCGAAUCUCCUUCGUGCUAGGGAUUGAGGUUUGCAAUUAUCCUUCAUGAACGAGGAAUUCCCAGUAAGUGCAAGUCAUAAGCUUGCGCUGACUACGUCCCUGCCCUUUGUACACACCGCCCGUCGCUACUACCGAUUGAAUGAUUUAGUGAGGACUUCGGACUGGGACCGAUGCGGCUUUCGGGCUGCGUCGGUAUUCUGGAAAGAUGUCCAAACUGUAUCAUUUAGAGGAAGUAAAAGUCGUAACA
RNAcentral lists this ribosomal RNA (327 nucleotides) under uncultured eukaryote. RNAcentral describes it as "partial 18S ribosomal RNA". It matches the Rfam family "Eukaryotic small subunit ribosomal RNA", at positions 1470 to 1796 of the family's 1831-position model. The record is from RNAcentral.